UUCCGCUGGCGGGUUUUGGCACCACGACCUUCGGGCGCUUAUUUCUGGAUGCGGCUGUGCCCGCGACUUCCCGCGGGCACCCCGAGGCCCCUCGCAAAGUCUCGCCCCAUUCCGAGUCCGGCGGACGAACUUCGCCCGCGCCCCCCACCGAGGCUAUAGCCCACCCAUUUUUUGGCCAUUUUUCCGCUGGGGGGUUUUGGCACCACGACCUUCGGGCGCUUAUUUUUGGGCGCGGCUGUGCCCGCGACUUCCCGCGGGCACCCCGUGGCCCCUCGCAAAAUCUCGCCCCAUUCCGAGUCCGGCGGACGAACUUCGCCCGCGCCCCCAACCAAGGCUAUAGCCCACCCGUUUUUUGGCCAUUUUUCCGCUGGGGGGUUUUGGCACCACGACCUUCGGGCGCUUAUUUUUGGGCGCGGCCUUGCCCGCGGCUUAUUUUUGGCACCCCGAGGCCCCUCGCAAAGUCUCGCCCCAUUCCGAGACCGGCGGACGAACUUCGCCCGCGCCCCCCACCAAGGCUAUAGCCCACCCGUUUUUUGGCCAUUUUUCCGCUGGGGGGUUUUGGCACCACGACCUUCGGGCGCUUAUUUUUGGACGCGGCAUUGCCCGCGGCUUAUUUUUGGUGCCCCGAGGCCCCUCGUAAAGUCUCGUCCCAUUCCGAGUCCGGCGGACGAACUUCGCCCGCGCCCCCCACCGAGGCUAUAGCCCACCCGUUUUUUGGCCAUUUUUCCGCUGGGGGUUUUUGGCACCACGACCUUCGGGCGCGGCUUUGCCCGCGGCUUAGUUUUGGCACCCCGAGGCCCCUCGCAAAGUCUCGUCCCAUUCCGAGUCCGGCGGACGAACUUCGCCCGCGCCCCCCACCAAGGCUAUAGCCCACCCGUUUUUUGGCCAUUUUUCCGCUGGGGGGUUUUGGCACCACGACCUUCGGGCGCUUAUUUUUGGCCGCGGCUUUGCCCGCGGCUUUUUUUUGGCACCCCAAGGCCCCUCGCAAAGUCUCGCCCCAUUCCGAGUCCGGCGGACGAACUUCGCCCGCGCCCCCCACCAAGGCUAUAGCCCACCCGUUUUUUGGCCAUUUUUCCGCUGGGGGGUUUUGGCACCACGACCUUCGGGCGCUUCUUUGUGGACGCGGCUGUGCCCGCGACUUCCCGCGGGCACCCCGAGGCCCCUCGCAAAGCCUCGCCCCAUUCCGAGUCCGGCAGACGAACUUCGCCCGCGCCCCCCACCAAGACUAUAGCCCACCCGUUUUUUGGCCAUUUUUCCGCUGGGGGUUUUUGGCACCACGACCUUCGGGCGCUUAUUUUUGGAUGCGGCUUUGCCCGCGGCUUAUUUUUGGUGCCCCGAGGCCCCUCGCAAAGUCUCGCCCCAUUUCGAGUCCGGCGGACGAACUUCGCCCGCGCCCCCUACCAAGGCUAUAGCCCACCCGUUUUUUGGCCAUUUUCCCGCUGGGGGGUUUUGGCACCACGACCUUCGGGCGCUUAUUUUUGGGCGCGGCUUUGCCCGUGGCUUAUUUUUGGCACCCCGAGGCCCCUCGCAAUGUCUCGCCCCAUUCCGAGUCUGGCGGACGAACUUCGCCCGCGCCCCCCACCAAGGCUAUAGCCCACCCGUUUUUUGGCCAUUUUUCCGCUGGGGGGUUUUGGCACCACGACCUUCGGGCGCUUAUUUUUGGACGCGGCUGUGCCCGCGACUUCCCGCGGGCACCCCGAGGCCCCUCGCGAAGUCUCGCCCCAUUCCGAGUCCGGCGGACGAACUUCGCCCGCGCCCCCCACCAAGGCUAUAGCCCACCCGUUUUUUGGCCAUUUUUCCGCUGGGGGGUUUUGGCACCACGACCUUCGGGCGCUUAUUUUUGGGCGCGGCUGUGCCCGCGACUUCCCGCGGGCACCCCGAGGCCCCUCGCAAAGUCUCGCCCCAUUCCGAGUCCGGCGGACGAACUUCGCCCGCG
Molecule: long non-coding RNA, 1936 nt
Filed under: Citrus x clementina
Lineage: Eukaryota; Viridiplantae; Streptophyta; Magnoliopsida; Sapindales; Rutaceae
Description: Citrus clementina (C. clementina) long non-coding RNA (CCLE_LNC006311)
Source: RNAcentral